Oryctolagus cuniculus (rabbit) is the source of this 2775-nucleotide non-coding RNA. Lineage: Eukaryota; Metazoa; Chordata; Mammalia; Lagomorpha; Leporidae. The record is from RefSeq and is a predicted model, not a curated record.
CAACAAGCGGGGCUCGCAGAGAGACGCCAACUGCUAUUGGAGGAGCCCAUCCCGGCCUCCCCUAUGCCUAGCUUCGGAGCUGUCAGUUACUUGUACAGUGCGAGCGAGAUUUUGGCGCCACAGCUGGGAGUGAGGCUUUUGUUCCACAACAAAAACAAGAGGCUGAAUGGCAAGGCUGCCAGCGCCGAGCCCGGCGGAGGCAGCCAUAAAGGAGCGCGCCGUCGCCACGGUUUGUGACCUGCCAUUAGCGACGGCUCCCUCGGCUGGCUUCUACAGGAGCCCAUGGAGGCUAUGUGGCAAAUUCCGUUUGCACCGGCAGCCGCCCUGCUCGGGCCGCCGGGGUGAAUGUGAGGCCCCAGAACGGGCCUGGGUUAGUCCAGGUGCAAGCGCACGUUGUCGGUGCGCCGCGGAGUCAUUUCCCGCGCUUUCUGUCGCCUCUGUCAGAGCACUUCUGAUGUCCCUCUGCGCCUGCAAGACCGUCUUUCUGACUGAAACAAGUUACCCGACGGAUUCAUUUAUUUCUGGAAGAAGAGCUAGACAUAAAAAACCAUACUGCAAUUCACCCGAAUAUGUGGUCCCGGGCUAUAAAUAGAUAGCGGGACACCAACUCUUGCGUUAUUUGAUGUCUGCAAGGAUGAUGAGGUCAUUUAAAACACAGCCAGAGCCCGCUUGCUUACCUCCUUUGAGAUAAGAAUCACGUGGGAAAACCGGAAUUCACAACCCAGAAAGCAGUCAGAGGUGAGCGUUCUCAUUUCAGGAGGGAUUCUUUAAGUUUGGAAGCUUGCGGAAUACUUGAAACUCUGCCGACCCCCCCACCCCCCCACCAAAAAGGCAAAAGAAACGUUAAAAGAAGGGAAAAAAAAUCCCAAAUCAAGGACGUUGAUAUCUAAAGUGCUACUAUAAAAACGUAUUCCUUCAGGUUUGGUCUGGUUUGAAUGAAUAUUCUUUUGAGGAAAUGAUGAAGUGAAAGACAGUCAUUCACACCUUAGCGGGAAUGAGUUGGUUAUUCUUUGUUGAGAGGAGAGAGACUAGUUACAACUGAGUUUCUGAAAAGAGGCAGAGAACACGAUGGGUGGCAAUAAAUGCGGGAAAAGUCUGGAUGCCUCAGAGGAUAGUUGGUUGUUGCUUCACAAUUCUGGCGAAAGCUGACUUCUUCUAAAAGACGGUUUCUGGUUAGUUUUCUUGUGUUUUGAUCUUGCAGUGGAAUUUUUGCAGUGAUGGAAAUGUUCUAUAUUUACCCAGCCCGGUGGCAGUCACGAGAUACAUGUGGUUAUUGAGCAGCUGAAAUGAAAUGUGGCUUCUGGGGUGGGCAUUGAGCACAGCACUUAAGAUGCCACUGGAAACCUUCAAGGCCCUGUUCUUCUUCCAAUCCAGCUUUCUGCUGAUUGCACAACUAGGGAGGCUGUGGGUGAUGGCUCAACUGCUUGGGUGCCUGCCACCCAUGUGGGAGAUCUGAAUAGAGUUCUCCUGGCUUCAGCCUGGCCCUGACCUCUGCUGUGGUACUGUUGUAGGCAUUUGAGCCAGCAGAUUUCUCCCUUUCUCUCUGUCACUCUGCCUUUCAAAUAAAUCAAACACAUAUAUAAAGCAAACAAAUAAAAAAAUGUGGCUGCUGUGAUUUAGAAUUUUACUUUUUAAUUUAACACCCUCGUGUGACUGAUGGCUCAUCUUGAACAACACAGCUUUAGAAGAUUUUAGAAGUUGGGGUGUCUUUGUAUCUUCAGGAAUAAAGAACAAAGUUAGUGCGGUGGGCAGCUGUCUGGGAUUCACACCUCUACUGAGGCCCCCCACUUAGAGGCUAGAUCUGGCAACUUGCUUCCAGCAGUAGAAUCUGGCCCAUAUGAUGGGAUGUCACUUCCAAGAUCAGGUUACGAAGAGACUGGCUCUGCCCUGGGUGUCCUCGUUAGCUGUAUUCUCAUUGGCCACGUCGUCAGCUGCACUAUGGAGAAGUCACUCUGGCAAGGAACCACUGUCUUCAGUUCACAGCCAACAAGGAUCUGAGGCCAUUGUCCCAACAACUGUCAAAGAACUAAGUGCUGCCAACAUCCACAGGCACGAGCUGCAGAGUGGAUUUUCUACCAGUUCAGCCUUGAGAGGACCGAGGCCCUGACUGUCAAUACGAAGAACUCUGAACUAAAGACCCCCAGGGAAUAGAAAAUAGAUAUUAGCUGCCUGACGCACAGUAGGCCUGGUUAAUCCCCAAGAAGAUUUGGACAACUGGAGAUGCAAAGUUCACUGUGGCUCAGCCAUCAACUUAUUAGACACACCCAGAGGAGGCUGUGGAUUGUGAACAUAUUUUAGAGCUUGGGAUAAUGGAUGUGUCCUCAAGAAAGCCAAGCUCUACAUUACAAAUCUUCAGUAAUCAAUGAGCCCUCCAGAGCUACAUCACAACAAGAACUUCUCAAGCAGUGGCAAAAAGGUAUAGUGUACCUCACACUUAGAGUUCAAGUGACAGUAGGUGGAAAAAGACAAUGUACAUUUUGAUAAGGAAAGUGCUUAAAACAUCAGGAAGAAUUUCAUUCUGGGGCACUUCAAUGACAAGGGCUCUUCCAGUUGCUGUCCAGCAGAAUCAAAUAUGGGCUUUCAUUCAAUGAACAAAGACUGUCCUGGGACCCUUUGCAGCACGGAGAUGUAAGUUAACCUUAACACGUGAGUGUCUGUGAACAUCUAUGCAGUGCGGUUCUAUUCAGACCAGGUUUUCUAUCUAAGGCCUCUCCUGCCUAUGGUGACACGCUAUUUUCAGGUUCUAGUAUACGUGCGCUGGUUCUCACCUGUCAC